GUGUCGCGGGGCGAGCCCGGGCGCGAGCCUGCGGCUCCGCCGGCCGCUGGCGUGCGUGCGUGCGUGCGUGCGCGCCACCGCCAUCGCCAUCGCCUUCCUGGUUUGGACAGCUCUACCGGCUCCUCCCGCACGGCGCAGACGGGGCAGGAAUUUUAUAACUGUCAGAAUCAUGGCCUCCCAAUUUUGCAGAUGAGGAAACUGAAGCCUAGAGGGAGUAAAUGACUUGCAAAAUCCAUAAGGCGGGCUGGGCGCGGUGGCCCACGGCUGUAAUCCCAGCACUUUGGGAGGCGGAGGCGAGUGGAUCACGAGGUCAAGAGAUCCAGACCAUCCUGGCCAACAUGGUGAAACCCUGUCUCUACUAAAAAUGCAAAAAUUAGCUGGGCGUGGUGGCGCGCGCCUGUAGUCCCAGCUACUCGGGAGGCUGAGGCAGGAGAAUCGCUUGAACCCGGGAGGCCGAGGUUGCAGUGAGCCGAGAUCACACCACUGCACUCCAGCCUGGCAACAGAGCGAGACUCCAUCACAACAACAACAACAACAACAACAACAACAAAAGCCAGGUGUGGUGGCUCAUCCCUGUAAUCCCAGCAACAAAAGCCGGGUGUGGUGGCUCAUCCCUGUAAUCCCAGCACUUUCGAAGGCUGAGUUGGGUGGAUCACCUGACGUCAGGAGUUCCAGACCAGCCUUGGCCAACAUGAUGAAACCCCAUCUCUACUAAAAAUACAAAAAAUUAACGUGGUGUGGUGGCGGGUGCCUGUAAUCCCAGCUACUUGGGAGGCUGAGGCAGGAGAAUCGCUUGAACCCGGGAGGCGGAGGUUGCAGUGAGCCAAGGUCACACCAUUGCACUCCAGUCUGGGCAACAAGAGCGAGACUCUGUCUCAAAAAAAAAAAAAAAAAACCCAUGAAGCGGCUGGGCGUGGUGGCUCACGUCUGUAAUCCCAGCACUUUGGGAGGCCGAGGCGGUAGAAUGGCUUGAGCCCAGGAGUUCGAGACCAGGCUGGGCAACAAAGCAAGACACUAUCUCUACAAAAAAUAAAAUGAUUAGCCGAAUGUCGUGGUGUGCUCCUGUAGUUCCAACUACUCAGGAGCCUGAAGCAGAAGGAUUGCUUGAGUCCAGGAGUUGGAGGCUGUAGUAUGGCACCACUGCACUGAAAUCUGGGCGACAGAACAAGUCCUUGUCUUAAAAAAAAAAAAAAAAAAACUUUUCUAAGUGAAUAAUAAAAAAUAUGUCCUUACA
Symphalangus syndactylus (siamang) is the source of this 1234-nucleotide long non-coding RNA. RefSeq lists it as uncharacterized. The record is from RefSeq and is a predicted model, not a curated record. NCBI's taxonomy places the organism in Eukaryota, Metazoa, Chordata, Mammalia, Primates, Hylobatidae.